Molecule: long non-coding RNA, 2009 nt
Organism: Apis mellifera (honey bee)
Lineage: Eukaryota; Metazoa; Arthropoda; Insecta; Hymenoptera; Apidae
Exons: 4
Source: RefSeq, a predicted model, not a curated record
AGAUAAUUAUUUCGAUUGUAUUUCAUUCUUUAAUUUAAAAAUUUCACAAAUUGAAAUUAUUCGUACGAUGAAGAGAUCGUGAUAAGAUAAUUUUUUCUUCGUUAUCAAAUAAGACGUUAACGGAUUUAAUCCUGUUAACAUCGAUCGGAAAUGGAAAGAAGUUGAUUCGCCUUGGUGAAUCGUAAAGGGAUCCCGAAGGAAGUGAGGCGAGGAAAAAUCGACGAUGAUUGUCGCUAUCCUCCCCUGAGGAACAUUUGUUAUUUGUAACGGCAAAACCAAGGGAUAUUGGAUCUAGUGCAAUCCUCUGUGUAAAAUCAAGGAGAUUGCCACAAUACCGUCCAGUUGCAAUUAGCUUCCAGUUUCAAUUAUCGUGCUCUAUUAAUUGGAAUUAUAUUAUACAUCGAAUCGAUAACAAUGGAAGUAUAGUUGCACGAGUUAGUUGCAAGGGUCAUAUUGUUCCCACAACACGUAACACAAAUUUACAUUGAAUGACAGGUGUAUUGCACCACGUCUGAGACCCACCGUGUUGAUCGGAUAAUAAAGUACUUGAUCUUAAUCAAACUUGUAACAAAGUUUCUUUUAUCUUAACUAUAUAUAGGCGAAAUGAUAUUAAUAAUUAAUAUUUCGCAUCAUCGUGUUUUAUCAAAUUUUAUAUUCUUAACAAUUGCAAAGGCAAAUAUGGAAUACUGGAAUAUCGAAAGUUAUUAUUGUCAUUAUUGCAUCACAAUUUUGAAUAUAAAUAAUCUCAAAAAACUUGCGUUCCUUUUUCUAUUUCAAUAUUGCGUAACAUUAUUCCGGUAUUCAUAUUUAUUAUGUCGCGAUAUUCGAUCAUCAUACGUGUUUCAAAAACGAUCCGUAGCAAAGAUUGAAGAAAAGUGACGGGUCGUUAGAAUUUCAUCUCAAUUAAAUUAAAGCAAAUCACAAUUUGCCUAAAAUUCUAUUCACUCCCUCUCUCUUCCGACCAGGGAGGAAACUACUUCGCCACAUUUCUCGACGCCUCCUUAAUCACGGACCGGCCUUUCGUCAACAGCAAGGUUCAAAUUGCGGCCAAGUUUCCCUGCUGGCGGUUCACCGCCGUUGAAAUUCCGUGUAAUUACGCCGGACGGAAAGUUUCCAUCGCGUGGCCGGGGCUCGUUGAUGGCCACGAAAGAGGGCCAUAUUCCUCGAGAAAUGACAUUUUCGAAUACGUCCACACCACGCGGUUGGCAAAUUAUACGACGAGAAUCGACGUAUCCUGUUUCGGGGAAGUUGCCUCCUCCAUUAUGGAGUGCGCGCCUCUUAACGUCAGGGACCACGACUUAAGGUCCUGGUUUAAGGGAUGAGGGUGCAGGGUGCAGGAGAAUCGUUUGCUGGCCAACCGCUUUGUAUGCGUUCUACAACUCGGCCUCUCGAAUGGGUGUUAUUAUGCAGCCAGUGAGAAUGAAGUCUCGGGCUUCGUUAUAAAAUAGACGUAUACUUCGCUUGUAUCUUUCGACUCUGAUGAUGAAGAGAAAGAAUGGAAACGUUUUAUUUUGAAGAUAAAAAAUUACAAUUAUUAUCAUAAAUCACUGUUGAAAGAAAAAAAGAAGAACGACUGCAAUUAAUUAAUUCAAUUUAUAUCGCCUAAAUCCAUCUUAUUAUGGGUAGUAUGCAAAGAAAAUUAAUCUUCGUUGAAAUAAAUAUUUUGAAAUCACGUUAAUAAGCUAUUAAUUUAAUUUUCGUAAAAAGAAAAAUUUAAAUGUCGAUCCAGGAUCGAAUUUGACACACUUUCGAAGUGAGGAGAUGCUAAAAGGGCUAAUUAGACCGUGGAAUUCAAUAUGUCAGGGCACGAAGAUACGCACGUUUAUCGAUUUCAAGGGGAGAGAGAAUUUUGUGUAUCGAGGGAGAGCGAAAGGCGAGAUUCUAAUUUAACUCGUGAUUGGAUAUAAUCGUUACGACUUACCGAUUCUGAUGACCGGCGGCAGCGACAUGGCAGUGGUGACCAGGAUGACAAUAAUGGCGAACAACAGUGCCAUUGUGCCCGAAGUGAA